AUGACCAAAUGGGCCGCCGGUCUGCUCAUGUGCGCCGGCCGGAUAGCCCGUGUGCCCGGACGCAACCGCCUCUGCGCCCUAGCUAGAAAUUUUCCGCCCCAACCCACCACCACCAGCUCCACUUCCCUCCGGUUUCCGCCGCCCGCCGAGCCGUCUCCGGCAAGGACCCGGCCGGCGACACGGCCUCUACCCCGGCGGCCAGGCGCGCCCUUUCCUCCCUCCCCGCGCUCCGGUCGUGGCCGGUCUGCUCCUCCUCCUCUCUUCGUCCGGGGCCCCGGGACGUGCCUCUCGCCUCCACCUCCUCGCGUCUGCUUCGGAUUCGCUCCUCCUCGAUUCGUCGCCCGUUUAGGCUUAGAACCGCGCCUGAUUUGGUUUUCGCUCGUGCUCGAUUCGCCCGUUCGGAAUUGCGCCUGGUUUGAUCUUGCUCGUCCUCGCCGUCGUCCGUUUGGGGUCGCGUCCGGUUCGAUUUUGCUCCUCCUCGCCGCCGUCGUCCGUAGUCGUGUCUGGUUCGAUUUUGCUCGUCCUCGCCGUCGUCCGUUUGGGGUCGCGUCCGAUUCGAUUUUGCUCGUCCUCGCCGCCGUCGUCCGUGUAGGCCGCUUCUGGUUUGAUUUCACUCGCCCUCGCCGUGUAGGGUCGCGCCUAGCUCGAUUUCGCUCGUCCUCGCCGUUGUCCCGAUGCGCUCGCGUGUUCUUGGCCCGUCUCGCCUCGUCGGGGGGUCUCCGUCUAGUCUGCGUACUAGCAAUUAUGUCUGCGUGCGCUUCUUCUGUUAUCCGAACUAGCAAUCCUGGGUUUCGUGUUCGCGUCGGUUGCAGGAACGAACGGAACGGGUCUGGUUUCGAAAUUGGAUUACGGCCGGAGACGGGGAGCAGUAACUCAAACAUAUGCUCUCCUGUGAUACUCUUGUCAAUUCUUGGCCCUCUGUCAGUUCUUGUUGGCCCUCUGUCAAUUCUUGAGUUCCAGGAUUACGGAGACGGGGAGAGGCCAAAGCAAGUUCCUGAUCGUAGGACACUGAACGGUUUGUCUGGGCCACCGCACAGCCUAGGUAAUCAGGUUGUAGUGAUUAGGGAGAAGCUUGCAGAACUGUAUGAAUUUGAACAACAAUGGUCGAGAGCAGCACAAAUGCUUAGUGGCAUUGACUUGGACUCAGGAGUCAGGAUGCUUGAUGACAAACAAAUUAUCCAAGUGCGUCCAGAUUGCACGCCUCUAUUUGGAGUGAAUGUUGAAGCUUUUAUCAACAAAGCCUCAUUUUUUGUCACAAACAGCAACCAGGAAGUUCUGAACUUGCAAUACAAGGUACAUACAUUGGAUCUGGACAUGUCACAUUGGCUCUUUAUUGUGUUGCUAAGGACACUGAUGGUUGGGUUGAUGGUUGGGUUUGCAUACAACGCAGUAUGGAGCAACAAAUUGGUCUCAUUGCAAGGUCACUACCUGGACGUAUAG
This 1440-nucleotide ribosomal RNA is filed under the name Triticum aestivum (bread wheat). RNAcentral describes it as "partial small subunit ribosomal RNA". Lineage: Eukaryota; Viridiplantae; Streptophyta; Magnoliopsida; Poales; Poaceae. The record is from RNAcentral.